Molecule: ribosomal RNA, 427 nt
Filed under: uncultured prokaryote
Description: bacterial SSU rRNA
Rfam family: Bacterial small subunit ribosomal RNA
Source: RNAcentral
UGGGGAAUUUUCCGCAAUGGGCGAAAGCCUGACGGAGCAAUACCGCGUGCGGGAGGAAGGCUUUUGGGUUGUAAACCUCUUUUCUUAGGGAAGAAGAAAGUGACGGUACCUAAGGAAUCAGCAUCGGCUAACUCCGUGCCAGCAGCCGCGGUAAUACGGAGGAUGCAAGCGUUAUCCGGAAUUAUUGGGCGUAAAGCGUCCGCAGGUGGCACUUCAAGUCUGCUGUCAAAGACCAGAGCUCAACUCUGGGCAGGCGGUGGAAACUGGGGAGCUAGAGUACGGUAGGGGUAGAGGGAAUUUCCAGUGUAGCGGUGAAAUGCGUAGAGAUUGGAAAGAACACCAGUGGCGAAGGCGGCCACCUGGACAUUCACUGACGCUGAGACGCGAAAGCGUGGGGAGCAAACAGGAUUAGAUACCCCCGUAGUCC